This 244-nucleotide unclassified non-coding RNA is filed under the name uncultured fungus. RNAcentral's name for it is "partial contains 5.8S ribosomal RNA, internal transcribed spacer 2, and large subunit ribosomal RNA". The stretch from base 1 to 52 matches the Rfam family "5.8S ribosomal RNA", at positions 103 to 154 of the family's 154-position model. Lineage: Eukaryota; Fungi. The record is from RNAcentral.
AACGCACAUUGCGCCCCUCGGUAUUCCGGGGGGCAUGCCUGUUCGAGCGUCAUUGCACCCCUCAAGCUCUGCUUGGUAUUGGGCCUCGCCCCCUGGGCGUGACCCGAAAGUCAGUGGCGGCCGGCGUGACUUCGAGCGUAGUAAAUUUUCUCCCGCUUCGAACGUUCGCGCCGGGACCGGCCAAAACCCCGAUUUAUUUCGAACGAUUGACCUCGGAUCAGGUAGGGAUACCCGCUGAACUUAA